Long non-coding RNA from Telopea speciosissima, 157 nucleotides. RefSeq lists it as uncharacterized. NCBI's taxonomy places the organism in Eukaryota, Viridiplantae, Streptophyta, Magnoliopsida, Proteales, Proteaceae. The record is from RefSeq and is a predicted model, not a curated record. The transcript is spliced from 3 exons.
AAGCAGUGGGAUCAAGGCAGAGUAAGUAUUGAGCAUGACAAAAACAGAGGCCAUGGUGGGUCUGUUAGAUACAUUUUCUUGAACACAUAAUAGUCCAAUGUGAAUGCACCUUAUCACUUCAGACAUAUCAUAAUUUUCUCUCAUUUUUGGAUCUAUC